RNAcentral lists this ribosomal RNA (1401 nucleotides) under Heliodiaptomus viduus. Its description in RNAcentral is "SSU rRNA". It matches the Rfam family "Eukaryotic small subunit ribosomal RNA", at positions 72 to 1494 of the family's 1831-position model. Lineage: Eukaryota; Metazoa; Arthropoda; Copepoda; Calanoida; Diaptomidae. The record is from RNAcentral.
CUCAGUAAGGUGAACCGCGAAUGGCUCAUUAAAUCACACCUAAUCUACUGGAAAGUUACUAGUUACUUGGUAUAACUGAGGUAAUUCUUGAGCUAAUACAUGCGAAAAAUCUCGACUCACGGAGAGAUGCUUUUAUUAGAUCAAAACCAAACGGCUUCGGCCGUCUCAUUGGUGACUCUGAAUAACUUUGGGCUGAUCGUAUGGCCUUGCGCCGACGACGUUUCCUUCGAAGGUGUGCCCUAUCAACUGUCGACUGUGAUAUAGACGCUCACAGUGGUUUUGACGGGUAACGGGGAAUCAGGGUUCGAUUCCGGAGAGGGAGCCUUAAAAACGGCUACCACAUCCAAGGAAGGCAGCAGGCACGCAAAUUACCCAAUGAACGAAGUUCGAGGUAGUGACGAAAAAUAACGAUACAGGACUCAUCCGAGGCCCUGUAAUUGGAAUGAGUACACUUUAAAACCGUUCCCGAGGAUCUAUUGGAGGGCAAGUCUGGUGCCAGCAGCCGCGGUAAUUCCAGCUCCAAUAGCGUAUAUUAAAGUUGUUGUGGUUAAAAAGCUCGUAGUUGGAUCUCGGCGGACAGAAGUCGGUCCGAAUGCUUUCGGUACUGGCUUGUUUGUCCGUGUGUUUUGCCAGAGGCAGGCGGGUGCUCUUCGCCGAGUGUCCGUUUGUGCUGGCAGGUUUACUUUGAAAAAAUUAGAGUGCUCAAAGCAAGCUCUCACGCUUGGAUAUUCGUGCAUGGAAUAAUAGAAUAGGAUGUCGUUUCUAUUUUGUUGGUUUUCGGAAAUCGACAUAAUGAUUAAUAGGGACAGUCGGGGGCAUUUGUAUUCAAACGACAGAGGUGAAAUUCUUGGACCGUUUGAAGACAAACUACUGCGAAAGCAUUUGCCAAGAAUGUUUUCAUUAAUCAAGAACGAAAGUUAGAGGUUCGAAGGCGAUUAGAUACCGCCCUAGUUCUAACCAUAAACGAUGCCAGCUAGCGAUCUGCAGGCGUUUUUCUUUACGACCUUGCAGGGAGCUUCCGGGAAACCAAAGCUUGUGGGUUCCAGGGGAAGUAUGGUUGCAAAGCUGAAACUUAAAGGAAUUGACGGAAGGGCACCACCAGGAGUGGAGCCUGUGGCUUAAUUUGACUCAACACGGGAAAUCUCACCAGGCCCGGACACGAGAAGGAUUGACAGAUUGAUAGCUCUUUCUUGAUUUCGUGGGUGGUGGUGCAUGGCCGUUCUUAGUUGGUGGAGUGAUUUGUCUGGUUAAUUCCGAUAACGAACGAGACUCUGUCCUGCUAACUAGUGUCUGCUUCUUGUCUGAGCAGAUUAUUCUUCUUAGAGGGACUGGUAGCUCUUAGCUACACGAGAUUGAGCAAUAACAGGUCUGUGAUGCCCUUAGAUGUUCUGGGCCGCACAC